GUGAGGAAUAUUGCGCAAUGGAGGCAACUCUGACGCAGCCAUGCCGCGUGCAGGAAGAAGGCGCUACGCGUUGUAAACUGCUUUUAACCGGGAAGAAACCCCAGGACGUGUCCUGGGUUGACGGUACCGGAGGAAUAAGCACCGGCUAACUUCGUGCCAGCAGCCGCGGUAAUACGAAGGGUGCAAGCGUUAUCCGGAUUCAUUGGGUUUAAAGGGUGCGUAGGCGGAGCGUUAAGUCAGUGGUGAAAUCCUGCAGCUUAACUGUAGACUUGCCAUUGAUACUGGCGCUCUUGAGUGCGCUUGAAGUGGGCGGAAUGUGCCGUGUAGCGGUGAAAUGCUUAGAUAUGGCACAGAACACCAAUUGCGAAGGCAGCUCACUAAGGCGAUACUGACGCUGAGGCAUGAAAGCGUGGGGAUCGAACAGGAUUAGAAACCCUAGUAGCC
RNAcentral lists this ribosomal RNA (444 nucleotides) under uncultured bacterium. RNAcentral describes it as "partial 16S ribosomal RNA". It matches the Rfam family "Bacterial small subunit ribosomal RNA", at positions 354 to 795 of the family's 1533-position model. The record is from RNAcentral.